This 531-nucleotide ribosomal RNA is filed under the name uncultured eukaryote. RNAcentral's name for it is "SSU rRNA". It matches the Rfam family "Eukaryotic small subunit ribosomal RNA", at positions 25 to 549 of the family's 1831-position model. The record is from RNAcentral.
UAGCAUAUGCUUGUCUCAAAGAUUAAGCCAUGCAUGUCUAAGUACAAGCCCCCCUGGGGCGAAACCGCGAAUGGCUCAAUAAAUCAGUUAUGGUUCCUUAGAUCGUACUAUCCUACUUGGAUAACUGUGGUAAUUCUAGAGCUAAUACAUGCACACAAGCCCUGACCUUACGGGAGGGGUGCUUUUAUUAGAUCAAGACCAAUCGGGCUUCGGUCCGUAUCUUGGUGACUCUGAAUAACUUUGUGCCGAUCGCAUGGUCUAGCACCGGCGACGCAUCUUUCAAAUGUCUGCCUUAUCAACUGUCGAUGGUAGGUUAUGCGCCUACCAUGGUUGCAACGGGUAACGGGGAAUCGGGGUUCGAUUCCGGAGAGGGAGCCUGAGAAACGGCUACCACAUCCAAGGAAGGCAGCAGGCGCGCAAAUUACCCACUCCCGGCACGGGGAGGUAGUGACGAAAAAUAACGAUGCAGGACUCAUCCGAGGCCCUGUGAUUGGAAUGAGUACACUUUAAAUCCUUUAACGAGGACCUAUU